UACAGAGGUGGCAAGCGUUGUUCGGAAUUACUGGGCGUAAAGGGCGAGUAGGUGGCCAUCUAAGUCAGACGUGAAAUCCCCCGGCUUAACCUGGGAACUGCGUCUGAUACUGGACGGCUUGAGUAUGGGAGAGGAACGUAGAAUUCCAGGUGUAGCGGUGAAAUGCGUAGAUAUCUGGAAGAACACCAGUGGCGAAGGCGGUCAACUGGCCCGUAACUGACGCUGAGGCACGAAAGCGUGGGGAGCGAACAGG
This 253-nucleotide ribosomal RNA is filed under the name uncultured bacterium. RNAcentral's name for it is "partial 16S ribosomal RNA". It matches the Rfam family "Bacterial small subunit ribosomal RNA", at positions 524 to 776 of the family's 1533-position model. The record is from RNAcentral.